RNAcentral lists this ribosomal RNA (2238 nucleotides) under Architeuthis dux (giant squid). RNAcentral's name for it is "SSU rRNA". Lineage: Eukaryota; Metazoa; Mollusca; Cephalopoda; Oegopsida; Architeuthidae. The record is from RNAcentral.
ACCUGGUUGAUCCUGCCAGUAGUCAUAUGCUUGUCUCAAAGCUUAAGCCAUGCAAGUGUAAGUUCACGCCACGCAUUAGAACGGGCGAAACCGCGAAUGGCUCAGGAACCGGACCUAAUCCUCGGGACCGUAAUCCUCCUCGGAGGCGAUGGAUAACUGUGGCAAUUCUAGAGCUAAUACAUGUGACACAGGCCGCGAUCGGUCGUCGCGCCGUGGUCGCCUCGCCUUCUUGCGCGCUGGCACCCGCGACGGCCGUCUUGGGUCGCGGCGCUACAUAUUAGACUGAGACCGAUGCGCGAUUUCCGUCCUCCCGUCUCGGGUCUCGGCUCGUUUCGGGACCAAAGGUCGGCGCGCUCCGCUUUGGUGACUCUGGAUAACUCACUGGUCGAUCGCACGGGCUUCCACGCCCGGCGACGGGUCCCUCGAGGGUCCGCCCUAUCAACUGUCGACGGUCGGUUAAGUGCCUACCGUGGUUACUACGGGUAACGGGGAAUCGGGGUUCGAUUCCGGAGAGGGAGCAKGCRAAMCGSCUACCACAUCCAAGGAAGGCAGCAGGCGCGCAAAUUACCCACUCCCGGCACGGGGAGGUAGUGACGAAAAAUAACGACGCGGGACUCUGUCGAGGCCCCGCGAUCGGAAUGAGUACACUUCAAAUCCGUUAACGAGGACCAACCGGAGGGCAAGUCUGGUGCCAGCAGCCGCGGUAAUUCCAGCUCCGGUAGCGUAUAUUAAAGUUGUUGCGGUUAAAAAGCUCGUAGUCCGAACUCGGGUUCGUGGUCGCUCACGCGGCCCCGGGGCGGCGGCGCCAUCGUCCAUCGUUGACUUUGGUCGUCCGUUCGCAUUCCCGGCCCUUUCCGCCGGUGUCAAUCGCUACAUAGACGGCCGCGGGUCAGCUGGCGUNAGGCGUGGCGCUUCGCGCGUUCGUCGUCGUGGGGACCGGGCCAGGGUUCGCCCCGAACCCACCUCGCGGCUGGCGGCGUGCGUCGYGUCCGGGCCUCUCGCGGGCUCCCUUUCGCCACGCCCUCGCGUCGCCGUCGGCGAUUUCUCCUCCAAGGGUGCUCUUGAUCGAGUGUCCGCGGCGGCCGGUACGUUCACUUUGAAAAAAUUAGAGUGCUCAGAGCGGGCUGUUCAAGCUUGCAUACGAUAAGCAUGGAAUGAUGGAAGAGGGCCUCGUCUACGUCUGUCGGUCUCCGUCUACGGCGAGGCAAUGAUCGAAGGGAGCGGUCGGGGCCACUCGUAUUGCGACGUUAGAGGUGAAAUUCUUGGAUCGUCGCAAGACGAACUGCAGCGAUGGCGUGUGGCAAGCACGUUUUCCUCGAUCAAGAGCGAAAGUCGGAGGUUCGAAGACGAUCAGAUACCGUCGUAGUUCCGACCGUAAACGAUGCCGACCGGCGAUCCGCCGGCGUUCGCUUCCAUGACCCGGCGGGUAGCCUGCGGGAAACCAGAGUUCGGUUCCGGGGGGAGKAUGGUUGCAAAGCUGAAACUUAAAGGAAUUGACGGAAGGGCACCACCAGGAGUGGAGCCUGCGGCUUAAUUUGACUCAACACGGGAAAACUCACCCGGUCCGGACACCGGUAGGAUUGACAGAUCGAUAGCUCUUUCUCGAUUCGGUGGGUGGUGGUGCAUGGCCGUUCUUAGUUGGUGGAGCGAUCCGUCUGGUUGAUUCCGAUAACGAACGAGACUCCGGCCUGCUAACUAGUGCGCCGAUGUGAGUGCGGCCCUCCGAGGUCGUGUGCGGGCUCGGGGGCGAUUUUUGAUCGUCUCUCGUGUCCGGGUCGGUUUCUCACGCACUUCUUAGAGGGACGGGUGGCAGAAAGCCACACGAGGCGGAGCGAUAACAGGUCUGUGAUGCCCUUAGAUGUCCGGGGCCGCACGCGCGCUACACUGGAGGUAUCAGCGGGGACUUCGCCCCGGCCCGAGAGGGUCGGGAAACCUCUCAACCACCUCCCGUGAUAGGGAUCGGGGCCUGUAACCAACCCCGUGAACGAGGAAUUCCCGGUAGGCGCGGGUCAACAGCCCGCGUCGAUCACGUCCCUGCCCUUUGUACACACCGCCCGUCGCUACUACCGAUCGAACGGUCCGGUGAGGUCCUCGGAUCUGGCCGACGACGCCGCCGGGBMAGGSCUUCGGGKCCCGCCUCGGCGUUCGAUGCCUGGAGAAGACGACCGAACCCGAUCGUUUAGAGGAAGUAAAAGUCGUAACAAGGUUUCCGUAGGUGAACCUGCGGAAGGAUCAUUA